GAGUUUGAUCCUGGCUCAGAACGAACGCUGGCGGCGUGCUUAACACAUGCAAGUCGAACGUGAUCCGGAGCUUGCUCCGGUGAAAGUGGCGCACGGGUGAGUAACGCGUGGAUAWUCUGCCCUGGUAUCUGGGAUAACAUCUCGAAAGGGGUGCUAAUACCGGAUAAGCCUACGGACUCCUCGGAGUCURCARGAAAAGGUGGCCUCUAUUUAUAAGCUWCCGUAUCAGGAUGAGUCCGCGUACCAUUAGCUAGUUGGUGGGGUAAUGGCCCACCAAGGCUACGAUGGUUAGCUGGUCUGAGAGGAUGAUCAGCCACACUGGAACUGAGACACGGUCCAGACUCCUACGGGAGGCAGCAGUGGGGAAUUUUGCGCAAUGGGGGAAACCCUGACGCAGCAACGCCGCGUGAGUGAUGAAGGCUUUCGGGUCGUAAAGCUCKGUCAGAGGGGAAGAAAUGAGCCUGGCUAAUAUCCAGGUUUCUUGACGGUACCCUCAAAGGAAGCACCGGCUAACUCCGUGCCAGCAGCCGCGGUAAUAC
RNAcentral lists this ribosomal RNA (539 nucleotides) under uncultured Geobacteraceae bacterium. RNAcentral describes it as "bacterial SSU rRNA". It matches the Rfam family "Bacterial small subunit ribosomal RNA", at positions 9 to 526 of the family's 1533-position model. Lineage: Bacteria; Pseudomonadati; Thermodesulfobacteriota; Desulfuromonadia; Geobacterales; Geobacteraceae. The record is from RNAcentral.